AAAUUGAAGAGUUUGAUCAUGGCUCAGAUUGAACGCUGGCGGCAGGCCUAACACAUGCAAGUCGAGCGGAAACGACAACAUUGAAUCUUCGGAGGAUUURWUGGGCGUCGAGCGGCGGACGGGUGAGUAAUGCCUAGGAAAUUGCCUUGAUGUGGGGGAUAACCAUUGGAAACGAUGGCUAAUACCGCAUAAUGCCUACGGGCCAAAGAGGGGGAYCUUCGGACCUCUCGCGUCAAGAUAUGCCUAGGUGGGAUUAGCUAGUUGGUGAGGUAAUGGCUCACCAAGGCGACGAUCCCUAGCUGGUCUGAGAGGAUGAUCAGCCACACUGGAACUGAGACACGGUCCAGACUCCUACGGGAGGCAGCAGUGGGGAAUAUUGCACAAUGGGCGAAAGCCUGAUGCAGCCAUGCCGCGUGUAUGAAGAAGGCCUUCGGGUUGUAAAGUACUUUCAGUUGUGAGGAAGGGGGUAACGUUAAUAGCGUUAUCUCUUGACGUUAGCAACAGAAGAAGCACCGGCUAACUCCGUGCCAGCAGCCGCGGUAAUACGGAGGGUGCGAGCGUUAAUCGGAAUUACUGGGCGUAAAGCGCAUGCAGGUGGUUCAUUAAGUCAGAUGUGAAAGCCCGGGGCUCAACCUCGGAACUGCAUUUGAAACUGGUGAACUAGAGUGCUGUAGAGGGGGGUAGAAUUUCAGGUGUAGCGGUGAAAUGCGUAGAGAUCUGAAGGAAUACCAGUG
RNAcentral lists this ribosomal RNA (734 nucleotides) under Vibrio splendidus. Its description in RNAcentral is "bacterial SSU rRNA". It matches the Rfam family "Bacterial small subunit ribosomal RNA", at positions 1 to 714 of the family's 1533-position model. Lineage: Bacteria; Pseudomonadati; Pseudomonadota; Gammaproteobacteria; Vibrionales; Vibrionaceae. The record is from RNAcentral.